CCUGGUUGGAUUUCACAGUCAUGGAAGUUCUGCUUUAAAAUCCGUUUCUGAAGAAGUGUUAAUGGCAGCAGUGAGCCCCCAUGCCUCUGAUUGUCAUCUUUGGGGGCCAGAGAAGUGAGCAGCUGUCCUUCCCAGUCCCUGGUCCCUCCAAGCAGUGACAACAAAGAAUGGACCAGAUCUUGACACUGCAUACCAGGGACAAAAUGUCCCAUUGAGAGUCACGCUCUGGAGUGGGAUGGGCAGUGAGAGACCCGAGACCGCAGGAUGGGGAAGAAAUAGCCCAGCUCAGGCUACUGGGUUGAAGAACUGCCAGAGAGUGAUCGCCGACGUGCAGAUUUCUGAUCUACGUUUAAUGUAGAAGCUGACUGUUCUGUAUCUGACGUUUUAUUUAGAGUCUAUGAAGUAGCUUAGGCCAAUUACUCAUAGCCGCCUGCCCCUCCUCAGUUACCUGGACAUAUGUCUUGUGUUCUGGAAUCAAAGCUAAUUCUGAAUGCGUAUCCUGAAAACAUGGGACACUUACUCAGAUUUCACUCUUGGGUGUCAUUGGCCUUUUAAUUAUUUUCUAUCAAUAGACCGACCUUAGAUUUACUUGUCAAAAAAGGUAAGGUCAUUUUAUGAGCACUUUCAUUCCAAUUUCCCAGAUGUCUUUUCUGAUUAGAAAAACCUAUAAACUAUGUAGCUUUGAAUUUAUAGAAUCAUUAUUCCUGAAGGUUUUGCUGUCCUUCGCGCUCAGAGAUGGUCCUACUGACCCAGGAUGGCAGAGCCUGUGAUCGCAGCUCCAGGGGCACUCAAUUCAUUUGUUUCCCUGUGUCUCCAUCUCCUCAUGUUAUCCUGUCACCCCACAAAGCACCUGCGUGCAACCCGGUCAACAGAGUCCAUCCAUAGAGUCCCACUGGUUCAGCUGGUUGUUUCCAGCUUUUUGACCGUGACCCACCGUGGGAAGCUCAUCUUAAGUAGCAAUGCAAAUGACACACUUACACACGUGCACACACACAGAGCACUUCAAAAAGCAACACUUUAUUAACUAUGCUACUUCUAUCGCAUUUUAAUCCCAGCUCUUUUUAACUUUUGCAGAAAGUGUUUAUAAGCAUUCAGUUGAUUACUACCCACAGUUAGAAAAAAAUAUAUUGGUCACGUGCAUGGUAAUAAAACUGCAGAGUGUACUGAGC
Symphalangus syndactylus (siamang) is the source of this 1169-nucleotide long non-coding RNA. RefSeq lists it as uncharacterized. The record is from RefSeq and is a predicted model, not a curated record. Lineage: Eukaryota; Metazoa; Chordata; Mammalia; Primates; Hylobatidae.